RNAcentral lists this ribosomal RNA (345 nucleotides) under Lactobacillus delbrueckii. RNAcentral's name for it is "bacterial SSU rRNA". It matches the Rfam family "Bacterial small subunit ribosomal RNA", at positions 57 to 378 of the family's 1533-position model. Lineage: Bacteria; Bacillati; Bacillota; Bacilli; Lactobacillales; Lactobacillaceae. The record is from RNAcentral.
GCAAGUCGAGCGAGCUGAAUUCAAAGAUUCCUUCGGGAUGAUUUGUUGGACGCUAGCGGCGGAUGGGUGAGUAACACGUGGGCAAUCUGCCCUAAAGACUGGGAUACCACUUGGAAACAGGUGCUAAUACCGGAUAACAACAUGAAUCGCAUGAUUCAAGUUUGAAAGGCGGCGCAAGCUGUCACUUUAGGAUGAGCCCGCGGCGCAUUAGCUAGUUGGUGGGGUAAAGGCCUACCAAGGCAAUGAUGCGUAGCCGAGUUGAGAGACUGAUCGGCCACAUUGGGACUGAGACACGGCCCAAACUCCUACGGGAGGCAGCAGUAGGGAAUCUUCCACAAUGGACCA